UGCCAAAACCACAUGCCAAUAUAUUUGUCGUGUCCUAUUUAUUUUAGGCAUUAAGAGGAGGAGUCCUCUUUCACUCCUCUUAAAAUCCUUACCAUCUUUUGACGCAUUCCUUUAUUUUCUCAUGUCAUGUGAUGACUCUUGAAAUUAUGAGCGUAGAAGAAAAGGAAGAGUCCUUCUCUGGCAGAAUUUGAACACCACAAAAUAAAUAGGACGCCCCUUCAUGAGUGCGUUG
RNAcentral lists this long non-coding RNA (232 nucleotides) under Elaeis guineensis (African oil palm). RNAcentral's name for it is "long non-coding RNA (EGUI_LNC008027)". Lineage: Eukaryota; Viridiplantae; Streptophyta; Magnoliopsida; Arecales; Arecaceae. The record is from RNAcentral.